This 254-nucleotide ribosomal RNA is filed under the name uncultured bacterium. Its description in RNAcentral is "partial 16S ribosomal RNA". It matches the Rfam family "Bacterial small subunit ribosomal RNA", at positions 1238 to 1500 of the family's 1533-position model. The record is from RNAcentral.
ACGAGAGGGCCGCUACCACGCGAGUGGAUGCCAAUCCCUAAAACCCCUCUCAGUUCGGACUGGAGUCUGCAACCCGACUCCACGAAGCUGGAUUCGCUAGUAAUCGCGCAUCAGCCACGGCGCGGUGAAUACGUUCCCGGGCCUUGUACACACCGCCCGUCAAGCCAUGGGAGCCGGGGGUACCUGAAGUGCGUAACCGCGAGGAUCGCCCUAGGGUAAAACUGGUGACUGGGGCUAAGUCGUAACAAGGUAGC